GGUUGGGUUGCUGGGUGGAAACCGAAGCUGGGUGGAAAUCUGAAGCUGGAAGGAAAUCUGAAGCUACCUGGGAGACUACUUCCCCAGUAGUCCUUAAAUGAAAGCUCAACACUUUAAAUCUUACUGGGGGAGGGCACAGAGGGCUCCCCAAGAAAGGGAGCCUCUGAGAAGACUUAAAGGAAAUACUCCCCAAGACACAAGGGACAUUGAUAUUGUUUUGGGGGGCCAGGAGAGUGACAGGAAGGGGGUAGGGUUCACCUGAAGAGGCUGGGUCCGAGUGGCAAGGAGGCCACCUGCUUCCAGGGGACCAUGGGCAGUGACAUCACCAGCAGCAGCCACUCGUCACCUUUUCCUUGUGUUCUGGGCACCACAACAAGAAGUCAUAGGUAGCAUCCCAGGCUAUGCAGCAAUGCCAGGAUGUAAUCAAGAUCCAGGGAGAACAAACCUAAUUCCUGUUUCAUGUGACGUGCCCAGCCUGUAUCAGACUGAAGAUUCCUGCUUCCCCCUCCCCCAUGCCAGUUUUUAAUUUUUCAGGGUUUUUGUGAAGAUAAAUGAGAUAAUCUUUGUGAAAGUAGUCUGAGUUCUCUCCAAGGCUGGAAUGUAACUAUGGAAACAACAUGUCCCCAAUUUUUGAGGACAGAUUCGCUUCUAUCUGAUGAACUCUUAUUUCAUACCUUUAAAUUUUUGAAUAUGUAAUACAUUCACAGGGCUCAAAAAUUCAAAAGUACAAAAAGGUAUACAUUGAAAAGUCUUACUGCCAUCCUUAUCCCCCAUCCUUUUAGUUCCUGACUUCUGUCUCCAUGCCCCUACGUAACCACUUUAAUUCCUUUUUGGAUAGCAUUCCAUAAUUUCUUUAUUUAAGUCCUUACAGAUGUAUGUUUCCCCACUGUGUCCCCCAUCCUGCUCCUCACUUCUUUCUAUUCACAUUCUAUCUUGAAGAUA
Non-coding RNA from Kogia breviceps (pygmy sperm whale), 942 nucleotides. Lineage: Eukaryota; Metazoa; Chordata; Mammalia; Artiodactyla; Physeteridae. The record is from RefSeq and is a predicted model, not a curated record.